GGUUGUAUAGUGUAGCGGUUAUCACUCCGGAUUCUGAUUCUGACUCGAGUCACUUCCGGCAACCCCGGUUCGAUUCCGGGUACGACCU
Non-coding RNA from Cercophora sp. LCS_1, 88 nucleotides. The record is from the annotation of a GenBank genome assembly. NCBI's taxonomy places the organism in Eukaryota, Fungi, Ascomycota, Sordariomycetes, Sordariales, Lasiosphaeriaceae.